This 31-nucleotide non-coding RNA is filed under the name Homo sapiens (human). Lineage: Eukaryota; Metazoa; Chordata; Mammalia; Primates; Hominidae. The record is from RNAcentral.
UUCUAACUCUGAUAGACUUUUGUCAUUCCGU